CUCGCGACCGCCCCUACGAGAAACGAGGAUUCCGAAACUGUAUAAAACGUCCCGAUCGAAGCCCGGGAAGUCUUCGAAAAUAAUUUCCGAAAAUGUUCGAUUUCGACGAUUUUUGCCGUCGACGGCGAAUAUGGCCAAACGUUGGGGGCUUGGGAAAACGAACGGAAACUUUUCGGCGUCCGGGAACGGGCUAUGUCGUAUCCCGAAGGACCGUAAUUUCUUCAGUUGACACUCUCGCCCACCUUUACGGCCCCCAAAUAACCGAAAAUUGCGUAAGAAAAAAGGGUAAUUUUGACGUUUCUCAAUUUCGCAUUUUUUCGUUUUCGUAGAAGGAAAACCACAGAGACGUCAUUAUCGAUAGUUGUCACGUAUGAAUAAUUCACGCGAUUUUCAUUCCAAACAUUGGAAAAAUGGAUAAAAAUGAGUGAAAAUCGUUCAAAUCACGUAUCUAGAGUCCCAAAUAUUACGAUUCGGGAUUCCGAGACGAUAAUUUCUAUCUAAAUAUGCACGGGAAUGACAAGCAUCGAACUCUCAUAUAAAUUCUGCCGUUGAGGGAAGAGUGGAAAAUUGUUUGGAUAACGGUAAUCGUAGAAGGCAUAUACGAGACCGGGGACGGUCUAUGUUUUAUCAGCAAGGACCGAAUCAUAAGUUUCAACCAAUUUGAGCUCCUAAAACGAUCCAGAAAUACCCCAAAAAUGCAUAGGAAAAAGGUAGAAAGGUGCAAAACUCUUUGUGAUAGGGAAAUCUCACGAAGUCAUUUAUCGUACCGGAGAGGGGCUAUGUUUUGUCAGGAAGGACUGAAUUUUACUAAUUAAUCAUUUUGAGCUCCUAAAACGACCCAGAAAUACCCCCAAAAUGCAUAAGAAAAAGGUAGAAUUUUUGACAUUUCUCGAAUUCAUUUUUCAUUCGAAGGAAUAACACCAAACUGAAGAAAUUUGAUCGUUUUCAAGAAAACUCGAGCACUAAGGGGAGCAUUUAUAUCAUUUCAAACAUGUAUUGAUUCAUUAGAAGUACAAACUGUCGUAAAAGUAUGAGAUGGUAUCGAGGCAUGUAUGGGCUUUUAGGGCGACCGUUGGAUUAAAGCAAAUAGAGCGUUCGUCCCUUUAAGAAAUGCCCUUUACGUUAUUGUAUAGAAGGCCAAGAUCGAAGGCCUGAAAGUCUCCCAAAAUAAUUUCUGAAAUACGUCGUUUUCGACGAAAGGUGCAAAACUCUUUGGAAUAAGAAAGUCGCACCAAGUCAUUUAUCGUGCCGGAGACGGGCUAUGUUUUGUCAGGAAGGACUGAAUUUUACUUAUUAAUCAUUUUGAGCUGCUAAAAUGACCCAGAAAUACCAGAAAAAUGCAUAAGAGAAAGGUAGAAUUUUUGACAUUUCUCAAGUUCAUGUUGAGGUUAGUUUUUUGUGCUCAUUGUAGAGAAGGGAAUUUGUUGGUUUCUAUUAAAGGAAACUGAAUUGAAUAUUAUAAUGCAUGAAUAAAUAAUCAUUUUGCUCCAUGUCAACUGCAUACAAUAGAUUUUUAGCAAUUUUCAAGCAGUUGGGCAGUGUCCGGUGAUGUUUUCUUUUUACUCAUUCGAGGUCAAAGGAAAAAUGUGUUUUCGAUUGAUUUAUUCAAUAGAAAUGAUAUAAUGAUUAUUGGAAUACAUUAUCCGGGUGAGUUUUUGCAUUAAAAUUUUACAUUUAUAGACUUUUAGCAAGUUAUUCCAAUUUUAAGGCUAGAUUUUUUUUUUCAUCGUAGAGGAAGGAAUGUUGUGAGUUCCUUUUCAAAAUGAACUGAAUGAAAUCUUGAAAAGCAGGGAAUCCCUUUUAUAAUGUGUCUUCUCAACUGCAUAUAACUGAUUUUUGCUAAUAUCAUCAACUAUAUUUGGUUUUUUUGUUUCAUUCCUAAUUCCAGUAUGCAGUUCAUUCAUCAUCGAUGUAAAUUUCCUGAAAUUAUUCAUGGAUUAUACUGAGUGAAUCAGAAUAUAUGAUUUGAUUAUUAUUAUUUCGAAUAAAUCUCUACAUAAUUCUCUGUACUUCAAAUAUUCUUAUAGCCACAUCCCCAUUAGAAAAUACACCUCUUUGAAAUAAGGAAGUUGCAUGAAGUAAUUUAUUGGUUCAGAGACAGCCUAUGUUUUGUCAGGAAAGUCUAAAUUUUACUUAUUGAUCAUUUUGAGCUCCUAAAAUGACCCAGAAAUACCAGAAAAAUGCAUAAGAAAAAGGUAGAAUUUUUGACAUUUUUAAAUUCAUAUUGCGGUUAGAUUUUUUAUGCUCAUUGUAGAGAAAGGAAUUCUUCGGUUUCUAUUGAAGGAAACUGAAUUGAAUCUUAUAAUGCAUGAAUCAAUAAUCAUUUUGCUUCAUUCCAACUGCAUACAAUAGAUUUUUAGCAAUUUUCAAGCAGUUGGGCAGUGUCCGGUGAUGUUUUCUUUUUACUCAAUCGAGGUCCAAGGAAAAAUAUGUUUUCGAUUAAUUUAUUCAAUGGAAAUAAUAUAAUGAUUAUUGGAAUACAUUAUCCAGCAAUUUUCAUUCAAAACCUUAGAGAAAUUAAUAAAAAUAAGUGAAAAUCCUUCGAAACACGUAUUUAUAGUCCCAAGUAUGAUGAAUCGGGCUUUCCUUCAAGACGAUAAUUCCUAUUCAAAUAUGUAUGGGUAUAAUUGCCUUUCCGUUAUUGUAUGGGGAACAUCAAGAUCGAAGCCCUGGAAGUCUCCUAAAAUAAUUUCUGAAAAAGGUCCAUUCUACCGUUUACCGAGAAAGAUGCAAGUGCUUACUUAUUCAAGGUGGAAAAAGAAAAGGUUGAUUCUAUUUGCUGUUCCUAAAUUACAAUUUGUCAGCAAAUGUUAUCCUUUUUAUCAAGGUGACUAGCAUUUCGAACUACCGGAGAAAGGAAUUUACUUCUUUUUUCACUUCAGAUGCAAUAUUCUUCAAAAAAUUAAUUGUAACUAAAUUGGCUGGUGGGAAAUCUAAUAGAAUGUAGGUAUUUCCGAUUUUAUCCAAAAAAUAUCUAACAAUUUUGAGCAAAUCAAAAUAAAUAUUAUUUUUUUAGGUUAUUUUCUGCAGGAAGAACCAGGUAUGGUUGGAUGUGGUGGCUUCCAGAAGUGUCCCAAAAUAUUUUCUGAUAAAGGUCGUUUUCGACAAAAUAUGCAAAACUCUUUGGAAUAAGGAGGACGCACGAAAUCAUUUAUCGUACCGGAGACGGGCUAUGUUUUGUCAGGAAGGACUAAAUUUUACUAAUUUAUCAUUUUGAGCCCCCAAAACGACCCAGAAGUAUCCGAAAAAUGCAUGAGAAAAAGGUAGAAUUUUGACAUUUCUCGAGUUCAUGUUGAGAUUUUUAGCAAUUCCCAAGCAGUUGGGCAGCGUCCGGUGAUGUUUCCUUUUUACUCAUUCGAGGUCCAAAGAAAAAUAUGUUUUCGAUUAAUUUAUUCAAUGGAAAUAAUAUUAUGAUUAUUGGAAUACAUUAUCCGGGUGAGUUUUUGCAUUAGAAUUAUUUAUUCAUAGAAUUUUGGCAAGUUAUUCUCAUUUUUGUUUUCAUCGUAGCGGAAGGAAUUUUGUGAGUUCCUUUUCAAAAUGAACUGAAUGAAAUCUUGAAAAGCAUGGAAUCUCUUUUAUAAGGUUUUUUUCCAACUGCAUAUUUCUGAUUUAUGCUGAUAUUCAAGCUCAAUAUGAAGAUAAUUGUAUUGACAAGAAUUCUUUCAGAAAAACUGUGACAAUGUCUGUUGAAAUUGUUACACUGAAAUACGGAUUUCCUACUGCCUUUGAAAAUUCAUAGUUUGUUUUAAUUGAGGAAUUAUUCUUAUCCAUCCAUUGCAUAACUGUUAUAUUGAAAGUUGAAAUAUUCAAUAAAUAGAAUGAAACAAAUGAUAAUGA
Long non-coding RNA from Coccinella septempunctata (seven-spotted ladybird), 3837 nucleotides. RefSeq lists it as uncharacterized. The transcript has 4 exons. The record is from RefSeq and is a predicted model, not a curated record. Lineage: Eukaryota; Metazoa; Arthropoda; Insecta; Coleoptera; Coccinellidae.